This 253-nucleotide ribosomal RNA is filed under the name uncultured bacterium. RNAcentral describes it as "partial 16S ribosomal RNA". It matches the Rfam family "Bacterial small subunit ribosomal RNA", at positions 524 to 776 of the family's 1533-position model. The record is from RNAcentral.
UACGAAGGGGGCUAGCGUUGCUCGGAAUUACUGGGCGUAAAGGGCGCGUAGGCGGACAGUUUAGUCAGAGGUGAAAGCCCAGGGCUCAACCUUGGAAUUGCCUUAGAUACUGGCUGUCUUGAGUUCGGGAGAGGUGAGUGGAAUGCCGAGUGUAGAGGUGAAAUUCGUAGAUAUUCGGCGGAACACCAGUGGCGAAGGCGACUCACUGGCCCGAUACUGACGCUGAGGCGCGAAAGCGUGGGGAGCAAACAGG